UACGAGGGGGGCAAGCGUUGUUCGGAAUUAUUGGGCGUAAAGGGCGCGUAGGCGGUUUGACAAGUCUGAUGUGAAAUCUAUGGGCUCAACCCAUAGCCUGCAUUAGAAACUGUCGGGCUUGAGUAUGGGAGAGGUGAGUGGAAUUUCCGGUGUAGCGGUGAAAUGCGUAGAUAUCGGAAGGAACACCUGUGGCGAAAGCGGCUCACUGGACCAUAACUGACGCUGAGGCGCGAAAGCUAGGGGAGCGAACAGG
This 253-nucleotide ribosomal RNA is filed under the name uncultured bacterium. Its description in RNAcentral is "partial 16S ribosomal RNA". It matches the Rfam family "Bacterial small subunit ribosomal RNA", at positions 524 to 776 of the family's 1533-position model. The record is from RNAcentral.